RNAcentral lists this ribosomal RNA (240 nucleotides) under uncultured bacterium. Its description in RNAcentral is "partial 16S ribosomal RNA". It matches the Rfam family "Bacterial small subunit ribosomal RNA", at positions 537 to 776 of the family's 1533-position model. The record is from RNAcentral.
AGCGUUGCUCGGAAUUACUGGGCGUAAAGCGCACGUAGGCGGCUUUCUAAGUCGGGGGUGAAAUCCUGGAGCUCAACUCCAGAACUGCCUUCGAUACUGGAGAGCUCGAGUCCGGGAGAGGUGAGUGGAACUGCGAGUGUAGAGGCGAAAUUCGUAGAUAUUCGCAAGAACACCAGUGGCGAAGGCGGCUCACUGGGACGGUACUGACGCUGAGACGCGAAAGCGUGGGGAGCAAACAGG